GAUGAACGCUGGCGGCGUGCCUAAUACAUGCAAGUAGAACGCUGAAGACUUUAGCUUGCUAAAGUUGGAAGAGUUGCGAACGGGUGAGUAACGCGUAGGUAACCUGCCUACUAGCGGGGGAUAACUAUUGGAAACGAUAGCUAAUACCGCAUAACAGCAUUUAACCCAUGUUAGAUGCUUGAAAGGAGCAAUUGCUUCACUAGUAGAUGGACCUGCGUUGUAUUAGCUAGUUGGUGAGGUAACGGCUCACCAAGGCGACGAUACAUAGCCGACCUGAGAGGGUGAGCGGCCACCCUGGGACUGAGACACGGCCCAGACUCCUACGGGAGGCAGCAGUAGGGAAUCUUCGGCAAUGGGGGCAACCCUGACCGAGCAACGCCGCGUGAGUGAAGAAGGUUUUCGGAUCGUAAAGCUCUGUUGUAAGAGAAGAACGUGUGUGAGAGUGGAAAGUUCACACAGUGACGGUAACUUACCAGAAAGGGACGGCUAACUACGUGCCAGCCGCCGCGGUAA
RNAcentral lists this ribosomal RNA (513 nucleotides) under uncultured bacterium. RNAcentral's name for it is "partial 16S ribosomal RNA". It matches the Rfam family "Bacterial small subunit ribosomal RNA", at positions 28 to 523 of the family's 1533-position model. The record is from RNAcentral.